AUGCCUUCCAGCUCCAAUGAUGUGAAAGAGUUCCUAGCCAACGCCAAGGAAGAUUUUUCUGGAAAAAAAAAUGGGAGACUCCUUCUCAGAAUACAGCCCAGUAGGAUCAGUUUGAUAGGAUCAAGACCCUUGGCACUGGCUCCUUUGGGCAAGUGAUGCUUGUGAAACACAAGGAGAGUGGGAACUAUUAUGCCAUGAAGAUCUUGGACAAGAAGAAGGUGGUGAAACUGAAGCAGAUCGAGCACACUAUGAAUGAGAAGUGCAUCCUGCAGGCCGUCAACUUCUCGUUCCUGGUCAAACUUGAAUUCUCCUUCAAGGAUAACUCAAACUUGUACAUGGUCAUGGAGUAUGUGGCUGGUGGAGAGAUGUUCUCCCACUUAUGGUGGAUCAGGUGGUUCAGCAAUGUCCAUUUCUACACUGCACAGGUCGUCCUGACCUUUGAGCAUCUGCACUCUCUGGACCUCAUCUACGGGGACCUGAAGCCCAAGAAUCUUCUCAUCAACCAUCAGAGAUAUAUUCAGGUGAAAGACUUCGGCUUUGCCAAGCAUGUGAAAGGUUAUACUUGGACCUUGUGUGGGACCCCUGAGUACUUAGCCCUUGAGAUUAUCCUGAGCAAAGGCUGCAACAAGGCUGUGGACUGGUGGGCUCUCAGGGUCCUCAUCUACGAAAUGGUUGCUGGUUACCCGCCCUUCUUCGCUGAACAGCCUAUCCAGAUCUAUGAGAAAAUUGUCUCUGGGAAGGUGUGGUUCCCAUCCCACUUCAGCUCUUACUUGAAAGAGCUGCUGCAGAAACUUCUGCAGGUGGAUCUCACCAAGUGCUUUGGGAACCUCAAUAACGGUGUCAAUGACAUCAAGAACCACAAGUAGUUUGCCAUGACUGACUGGAUUGCCGUCUAUCAGAGAAAGGUGGAAGCUCCCUUCAUACCAAAGUUUAAAGGUCCUGGGGACAGGAGUAACUUUGACGACUCUAAGGAAGAAGAGAUCCGGGUCUCCAUCAAUGAGAAAUGGGGCAAGGAGUUUAUUUAG
This is a non-coding RNA of Mus caroli (Ryukyu mouse), 1025 nucleotides long. Lineage: Eukaryota; Metazoa; Chordata; Mammalia; Rodentia; Muridae. The record is from RefSeq and is a predicted model, not a curated record.